CACAAUGAACAUUCGGAAUAUAACUAACUAACUAACUUCCUUCCUUCCUUCCUUCCUUCCUCCCUCCCUCCCUCCCUGCCUUCCCUUCCUUCCUGCCUUCCUUCUUCCUUCCUCCCUUUUUUCUUUUCUCCCUUCCUUCCUUCUUAAUAUGUUUUUGGCCUUUUCUUUAUAUAUGUGGCCUAGCAAUAUCCUGUGUUUGGAAAAGUAUAAACCUAAGGCAUCACCUUUACAGAAAAUAUCUUCCACGGAAACAUCUAAAGGCAAAAAUCCUUCAAAUUCAAAUUUAUCCAAUCAUUUCUUCUGCUUACUACCAUCCUAAAUCAUUUUUCUUUAGUAAGAUCUAUUAGUGGGAAGCUAUUAAGCUAUUAAUGUAUCAUAUUAAUUGUAUUCAGAUAUUAAGUUCCCUAAGGCAGCCUUCAAAUGGUGAUGUUUCUUAUAAUCCAGAGUUCAGAAGUGGCUUCUCUUCAAUCUUUCUGUGGAAUUCUAAACCAUGUGAUAAAGGAGCUGGUGGCCACAGAUCAGCCCUGGGGUUCAGAGGGAUCCUGACGGCUACUCCUCAAGAUCCUCUCUGUUGUGAUUCAUCCCCCCCGGGCCCUACAGUUUCUCCUUCCUGACUCUUACAUUUCUUUGGAUGGCAUCAUUAUU
This 645-nucleotide non-coding RNA is filed under the name Pan troglodytes (chimpanzee). The record is from RNAcentral. Lineage: Eukaryota; Metazoa; Chordata; Mammalia; Primates; Hominidae.